UUAGAGUUUGAUCAUGGCUCAGGACGAACGCUGGCGGCGUGCCUAAUACAUGCAAGUCGAACGAGGCUUUUUGAUUGAUGCUUGCAUCAGCUAAAAAGCCGAGUGGCGAAUGGGUGAGUAACACGUGGGUAACCUGCCUUGAAGCGGGGGAUAACAUUUGGAAACAGAUGCUAAUACCGCAUAACCACAAAAACCUCCUGGUUUUUGUGUCAAAGAUGGUUCUGCUAUCACUUCAAGAUGGACCCGCGGCGUAUUAGCUUGUUGGUGAGGUAACGGCUCACCAAGGCAAUGAUACGUAGCCGAACUGAGAGGUUGAUCGGCCACAUUGGGACUGAGACACGGCCCAAACUCCUACGGGAGGCAGCAGUAGGGAAUCUUCCACAAUGGACGCAAGUCUGAUGGAGCAACGCCGCGUGAGUGAAGAAGGUCUUCGGAUCGUAAAACUCUGUUGUCAGAGAAGAACGUGCGUGAGAGCAACUGUUCAUGCAGUGACAGUAUCUGACCAGAAAGUCACGGCUAACUACGUGCCAGCAGCCGCGGUAAUACGUAGGUGGCAAGCGUUGUCCGGAUUUAUUGGGCGUAAAGGGAACGCAGGCGGUCUUUUAAGUCUGAUGUGAAAGCCUUCGGCUUAACCGAAGUCGUGCAUUGGAAACUGGGGGACUUGAGUGCAGAAGAGGAGAGUGGAACUCCAUGUGUAGCGGUGAAAUGCGUAGAUAUAUGGAAGAACACCAGUGGCGAAAGCGGCUCUCUGGUCUGUAACUGACGCUGAGGUUCGAAAGCGUGGGUAGCAAACAGGAUUAGAUACCCUGGUAGUCCACGCCGUAAACGAUGAAUGCUAAGUGGUUGGAAGGGUUUCCGCCCUUCAGUGCCGCAGCUAACGCAUUAAGCAUUCCGCCUGGGGGAGUACGAUCGCAAGAUUGAACUCCAAAAGGAAUUGACGGGGGCCCGCACAAGCGGUGGAAGCAUGUGGUUUAAUUCGAAGCAACGCGAAGAACCUUACCAGGUCUUGACAUCUUUUGCCAGGUUGAGAGAUCAGCUGUUCCCUUCGGGG
RNAcentral lists this ribosomal RNA (1051 nucleotides) under uncultured bacterium. RNAcentral describes it as "bacterial SSU rRNA". It matches the Rfam family "Bacterial small subunit ribosomal RNA", at positions 1 to 1025 of the family's 1533-position model. The record is from RNAcentral.